This 28-nucleotide small RNA is filed under the name Bombyx mori (domestic silkworm). Its description in RNAcentral is "ovarian small RNA-27017". Lineage: Eukaryota; Metazoa; Arthropoda; Insecta; Lepidoptera; Bombycidae. The record is from RNAcentral.
UCCAUGGGAACAGUCGUCGGUAAGUCGU